This is a long non-coding RNA of Ooceraea biroi (clonal raider ant), 2831 nucleotides long. RefSeq lists it as uncharacterized. The record is from RefSeq and is a predicted model, not a curated record. Lineage: Eukaryota; Metazoa; Arthropoda; Insecta; Hymenoptera; Formicidae.
CAGUUAGUCAGCAGUGCCGCUCGCGCGCGCUCUGACUUGCCUGGGGUCGUCGCACUCCGAGCGAGAGAUAGAUCGGCGAGAGAGAGAAAGAGAGAGGCCGACGCAUACGGGGCGAGCGCGCUCUCGGCUGAUUUAUUUUAUUAAUUAGGCGACACCGACCGCGACGGCGACGCCGGUGGUAGCGAUCCGGCAGGAGGAUCUCGUCGCGUAUCCUGCGAGAAGGAUACUAAUUUCAUUAGACGGCAGAUGCCGGAGCGUACGUUCGCUCUCUUCCUCUCUCUCGCUCCAGGUUUCUUUUUUCUCCUUUCCAUCGCGCGACAAUUCCGCGACGUGAGGCACCGGAAGCUGUGAUAUCUGCAGUGUGCGACUACCGAGCCGAGCAAUCAUCUCGCCGAGCAGCAGCAGUCACCUGCGUCAGCGCCGGUAUGCAUCUUCGCCGAGGAUUAUAAAUCUAAACUGACCAGCUCGACGAGGGAUCUCGCGUGGAGGUAAAAUAUUGGAGGAAACGCAGAGACGUAUGGGAUACCAGCAGCUCGCCGUAGCGGCAUUGUUCUGCGUCGAAUUCCACACGUCGCCAUCCGCGACGCAUCGCGAUUGGACCCACAAUCCCGAGGAUUCAUCUCUCGGCUUCGACGAAGCGCCGUCAUAUCCCCGUGUACACUUUCCGCGAAGACGUAAAAGUCCUGCCAGGUCGCAGGAGAUACCAUUAGCGCGCCAUUGUUCUCCAAAUAGUGCAAGCCAGCUUGCAACUGGCGUGCCUCGCUCGCCGCAACCAGGUGCAUUGCCCUGGCUGCCUCAUCGUCCUCAUCGUCGUCGAUGAUUGCCCAACAGCUCGGGGUCCAGGAACGUCAGCCGACCAGUCGGCUGUUCUACAAAGGGCGCACGGCUCACGGCUCGAUUAUGAUCCAAGGUCACAUGAGAAGGAGCCGUGAGUAAUCUCAGCUAGCAUUGGUGGUCAACGACACGUUAUGCAACCGCGGCCGUAAUGACGUGCGCACGAUGUCGAACCGCCCGCUCGACGGAUUCGUCCUACUCCUUGUUUCUCGUAAGGAUGCUGCUCGCCCCCGCGGAACAUGAAACAUUACACGAAAACGCUAGGCUCUUGAUGCUGUCCGGAGAUGCGUAGUGCUAUCAACUAGCACACGCGAGGUAGACAGUCUUGAAGUACUGACUUAUCAGAAUUGUUUAUCUCUUCGAUAUCUAAUAAUGUAAUUUAAUAAUGUUUUAUUCAUAAUUCUUUUGUAUUAUUUUUAAGGGAUAAAUUUUGAUAUAUAUUUAAAGCACUUAGAGAUUGUUCUCUCUUUUACGCAGCAUAUACUUUAUAUCGGCCGAAAAAAUUUAGAAAGAGUAAGCGAGAAGCAAGCAAAUACAAAUCACUGAAAAAGAAAUAUUUGCACUGCGAGAGAUAAAGCCGAGAAUGUAAUGAAAAAAAACUACCCUGUUUUUUUUUAGACGCUCGAUCCCGUGUAUAUAGUUGCUUUCAGAUCUGUCCCCGCGAUGAGACACGAGUUUUUUUACCCUCGAAAAUCCGGCGUAUCGACUGGCAACGGUUGCUGAGAAUCUCGCACGUGCUUCUCCACGCUCGAAGAGAAGAGUCCUCGAGAGAGAUGAACGAGAGAAAGCGCGAGGGAAAAAAAGGGAAAAAAGAGCGAGACGGUAAGAUUCUGCGACGUGCCGCGGGCGAAUUUGUUCUGUCGAGGACUCCGAUUGGGGAACCUGAUCGAAUCGUUUUCCGUAAGCGGGAAGCACCGAAAUUCCCGACAAAUUUGUCACACAAAUGAGUUUAAUCAUGCAAUUCUCUCGUAUCAUUCCUUGGAUACAUUAAUUUAAUAUCCAUCGAAAGCUCACGAAAAAAGAUAGCGUUUAAUAUUCUACACAAUCUACUCUACAUACUGAAAAUAAAUUUUAUCAUCUGAUCUCUCGAACGUGUUUUAUUAUAUAUCACACUUUAUAUUGACAGAUUACUCGCAGAACGCAAUGAGAUUUUUAAUGAGAAAUUUAAGUAUUUGCAGAAAUCAAAGAUCUAUCUAACUAGUUAUCAUAUUUUAUGGCAUUUACAUCUUUGCGAGAGCGAUUCAAGUCACAGAAUAUCCUUAUAAACGUACGCUUAACGCGUUGCAUGUUAACAAAUUCGUUACCGUAUCAUUAGCAGGGUCGGCAUUAUCUAGCUUCUCCCGGUAUAUUCGAAUUAUUCAGAGAGACGUGUCUUUCUCAUCAUGAACGUCGUCCGAGAGAAAUGUGACUUUAAUCGCACUACAGCUAAAUGUUUUAUUCCACCGAUAAGUACGGCCUCGUUGGUGAAUAGGCGACGACUGACAGUGACAGAUUCGCUCUCGGCUCUCUAAGCUGCUUACCAGGUUCCCGGUUCCGUACAGUUCCAUCAUUAUCGAAUACCCUUAAUUGCCAACACCGGUGUUCCCAUGCCGGUAGCGUGGCAUGAGCGCGUAUGAACUUGAAAUUGUACAGCCCUGAGACGCAAAUCACGCUCGGCAGCUCGAAAGAGCCUCGAAGCAGCUGUUACGUCGUGGUUCUAUAGCGCGAUUGCAUCCACAUCGUUUCACCGCGAUCGAACGAAGUAACAGGUAUGAAAAUAAAAAUAAUUGCAAAUGAAUUGUAAAAUGACGUAAAAAAACAACAAAAUAGAGAAUGUGUAUCUUGUUACAAAAUUCGCGAGAGUAAAUCAAGAAAAUAGACUGUUAUUUUUCAAGAAGUUCGAUAAUUUCGAUGUUAUCGAUUUCAGCGAUGCCAUCGAUUGUAAUCGGAAGCCAAAAUGUGAGCUAGCAAAUAUUUGCGUCCAUCAUGCAAAACAAAAAAAUAAAAGUCAUCUAUAC